This 1130-nucleotide long non-coding RNA is filed under the name Capsicum annuum. RNAcentral describes it as "long non-coding RNA (CANN_LNC021627)". Lineage: Eukaryota; Viridiplantae; Streptophyta; Magnoliopsida; Solanales; Solanaceae. The record is from RNAcentral.
CACAAAUGAAAUGAGUAACUUCAUAAAAAGGAAUAUUUACUAAAACCCCAGCAUAAUGAUUGUAACUCAGGGGUUAAAUGCAACAAGUAACAUUAUCUCUCUUCAGAAAAACACAAGAGUACCAAUUUUGUGGACUUUGCUUAACAUUAACAAUGUACUGUUAUCCAACAAACUAGAGGGUAGCAACUAGCUAGCAAGGGGUUCACUCAAAUUCUCUCAACAAAAAUUACACUAUAUAUAUAAGGUAACCCCUGCAUAUAAGACUAGAGAUAACUCAGUGACUUGAGGGAGUUCAAAAGAGUUCAAAUUUCACCGUGAAUUUUUAAAGUCAAAUCUCUAAUUAAGCACACUGCUGAUGCCGACACCUAUGUGUAGUAGUAGCUUUUCCUUUUAGCUUUGUCCUAGGCAAUCAUCCAUUAGUAAAUUAUGCUGGCAAGAGGCAGUAACUGUAAUUCUGGAGAACAGGUAGCCUUUCCAACCACAAAACUAAUUAGAAGGGGAAAUAUUUAAGAAAAAGAGUUACCAAUUUUGAAGAUAGGUGGGGGGUGGAACUAUAAUCAUUGCAAUUGCAAUUGGAAUCUGUCAUGCACAAAAUGACAUUGCAAUUGCAAGUCAUAGUAGUUAUAAUGAUCAAUAUGGUAAGGGAAUAGUUUAAUGUUGUGGUCAAAGCCAUUACCAUAUACGUCCAUAUAUAUCAAGCAUGUCGCUCACUUAUUCACAGACACCUGGUUAAACUCCACAUAUAAACCUUCUAAAGACACCAUAUCCCAACUUAUGUGGAACUUCCACUUCUCAACAAACAAGUAAACUGCUCUAAUGUGUUGCAGAGUAUUUAAGAUAAUAGCAAGAAAAGGUUUUUGCUAUUACCUCUUCUAUCAUAAUGUCAACUUUGGUUGACUUGGAUGAUCUUCAACUACGAUUUUCCUGAGAUAAUCUGGUCCAACAGAGUUAAUAAGAGAGGGAGAAGGGAAAAAAAGGAGAAGAAAAAAAAUCAUUUGGCAGUAAAUUUGCACCCAACUAUGAUCUUGCAAAUACUACAGAGCAAAAAAUGGAGAUUCAAAGCCCUUUAGCCAAGCAAUUGUCCAUGUAUUCAUUUCUUUCCCAAAGCAGAAUGUGCCACAAAUACAAAU